This 917-nucleotide small RNA is filed under the name Rattus norvegicus (Norway rat). RNAcentral describes it as "uncharacterized LOC103693090". The record is from RNAcentral. Lineage: Eukaryota; Metazoa; Chordata; Mammalia; Rodentia; Muridae.
CUCUCCUCCAUUUUGCGCUUCAGCUCCAGCACACGCUCAUCCUGGGAGGGUGUCGCCAGGCUUGUCGCCUGGGCCUUCUUUUCCUCCCACCUGGACCACAACACCACAACAGCACUAGCUUAGAAGAAGACUGAGUAACGCCCAGGAAGGGCCAGCCGUUCUCGAAGUUCCACAACAGACAUCUCACCUUCCAGACCAUAUCCUGGGAUCUUCCAAAUGAUAGGAGAGACCUCAGAGCUGGCAGCUGCACAAGCCACUUGCCCUUAAUGUCCAAGAAGACUUUUCCUCUGCUUCAGUCUGCCUGUGAAGCCCACAUCAGCAGCUCCAGCCUAGAGCCCUUCAGUAGAACUGGACUUCUCAACUGGAUACACCUUGCCCUUUGUGUCUAGGUGAGACCCAGCAGUCAAUUUGAAGAGUCUCCCAGACCUGCCCUCAUGUUCCUGUGAACCUAGCUCUUCUCUGCUUUCUCAUGCAGGCUGCCGCCUCCUCCACCUCUCUUCUUAGCCCUUGGCUUUUUCUGGCUCUGGACUUUUAUACACUUGGGUGCACCUUGCUCUCAUCUGGAGAGUUCAGGGACCUUACCCUUCUACAUGCAGCUCCCCAAAUGUCUACCUCCAUGCAGUUUAGCUCUCUCCCCUUCAGAGAUCCAUCUCUGAUAGGUAGCUCUUUCCUCAAUAAAAACAUUCCAUCCUGCAGGUAAGAGGGAGGCUCCUAGGACUCAGGAAGCAAAGGAAACUUACAAGGCUUAGAAGCUUAGGAAGUUAUAGGAUUCACAAGGCCUGGGGGUGGGCUGGGCUAUGGUUAUAUAGCAAAGAUGCUUGCUGGAAAGAGAAAAUUCUUGGGCAAGUGCUGUAUGGUAAUUUCCUCUAAAGGCAAGCAACCAGUCCAGGAGGUAUGUGAGGGGAGGCUCGUGAGAA